Molecule: ribosomal RNA, 574 nt
Filed under: uncultured Thermotogales bacterium
Lineage: Bacteria; Thermotogati; Thermotogota; Thermotogae; Thermotogales
Description: bacterial SSU rRNA
Rfam family: Bacterial small subunit ribosomal RNA
Source: RNAcentral
CAGUGCGGAAUUUUAGAUAAUGGAGGCAACUCUGAUCUAGCGACGCCGCGUGCAGGAAGAAGGUCUUCGGAUUGUAAACUGCUGUGGUAAGGGAAAAAUGCCAUGUAGAGUGGAAAGCUACAUGGAGGGAUGGUACUUUACUAGAAAGCCCCGGCUAACUACGUGCCAGCAGCCGCGGUAAUACGUAGGGGGCGAGCGUUACCCGGAAUCACUGGGCGUAAAGGGAGCGUAGGUGGCCUGACAUGUCAACUGUGAAAACCCGGAGCUCAACUCCGGACUUGCAGUUGAAACUGCCAGGCUUGAGGACGGUAGAGGAAGACGGAACUGCCAGUGUAGGGGUAAAAUCCUUAGAUAUUGGCAGGAACGCCGGUGACGAAGGUGGUUUUCUGGGCCGGUUCUGACACUGAUGCUCGAAAGCCAGGGGAGCGAACGGGAUUAGAUACCCCGGUAGUCCUGGCCCUAAACGAUGUUCACUAGGUGUGGGGAGCGGAAAGCUUUCCGUGCUAAAGCUAACGCAAUAAGUGAACCGCCUGGGGAGUACGCCCGCAAGGGUGAAACUCAAAGGAAUUGACGG